RNAcentral lists this ribosomal RNA (373 nucleotides) under uncultured eukaryote. Its description in RNAcentral is "partial 18S ribosomal RNA". It matches the Rfam family "Eukaryotic small subunit ribosomal RNA", at positions 592 to 976 of the family's 1831-position model. The record is from RNAcentral.
CAAUAGCGUAUAUUUAAGUUGUUGCAGUUAAAAAGCUCGUAGUUGGAUUUCGGUUGAGAACGGCCGGUCCGCCGUUUGGUGUGCACUGGCUGGUUUCAACUUCCUGUAGAGGACGCGCUCUGGCUUCACGGCUGGACGCGGAGUCUACGUGGUUACUUUGAAAAAAUUAGAGUGUUCAAAGCGGGCUUACGCUUGAAUAUUUCAGCAUGGAAUAACACUAUAGGACUCCUGUCCUAUUUCGUUGGUCUCGGGACGGGAGUAAUGAUUAAGAGGAACAGUUGGGGGCAUUCGUAUUCCAUUGUCAGAGGUGAAAUUCUUGGAUUUAUGAAAGACGAACUUCUGCGAAAGCAUUUGCCAAGGAUGUUUUCAUUAA